This 84-nucleotide transfer RNA is filed under the name Treponema sp. RNAcentral's name for it is "tRNA-Leu". The record is from RNAcentral. Lineage: Bacteria; Pseudomonadati; Spirochaetota; Spirochaetia; Treponematales; Treponemataceae. RNAcentral also lists the same sequence under 2 other names.
GCGGGGGUGGUGGAAUUGGUAGACACGCUAGCUUGAGGUGCUAGUGGCUUCACGGCUGUGCCUGUUCAAGUCAGGUUCUCCGCA